UCAGAACGAACGCUGGCGGCAGGCUUAACACAUGCAAGUCGAGCGCCCCGCAAGGGGAGCGGCAGACGGGUGAGUAACGCGUGGGAAUUUGCCCUAUGGUACGGAAUAACUCAGGGAAACUUGAGCUAAUACCGUAUGUGUCCUUCGGGAGAAAGAUUUAUCGCCAUAGGAUGAGCCCGCGUCCGAUUAGCUAGUUGGUGUGGUAAUGGCGCACCAAGGCGACGAUCGGUAGCUGGUCUGAGAGGAUGAUCAGCCACACUGGGACUGAGACACGGCCCAGACUCCUACGGGAGGCAGCAGUGGGGAAUAUUGGACAAUGGGCGCAAGCCUGAUCCAGCCCAUGCCGCGUGAGUGAUGAAGGCCUUAGGGUUGUAAAGCUCUUUCGCCCGCGAGGAUAAUGACGGUAGCGGGAUAAGAAGCCCCGGCUAACUUCGUGCCAGCAGCUGC
RNAcentral lists this ribosomal RNA (447 nucleotides) under uncultured bacterium. RNAcentral's name for it is "bacterial SSU rRNA". It matches the Rfam family "Bacterial small subunit ribosomal RNA", at positions 24 to 518 of the family's 1533-position model. The record is from RNAcentral.